UACGUAGGGUGCGAGCGUUAAUCGGAAUUACUGGGCGUAAAGCGUGCGCAGGCGGUUUUGUAAGCCAGAUGUGAAAUCCCCGGGCUUAACCUGGGAAUGGCAUUUGGGACUGCAAGGCUGGAGUGCGGCAGAGGAGACUGGAAUUCCUGGUGUAGCAGUGAAAUGCGUAGAUAUCAGGAGGAAUACCGAUGGCGGAAGGCAGGUCUCUGGGCUGACACUGACGCUCAUGCACGAAAGCGUGGGGAGCAAACAGG
RNAcentral lists this ribosomal RNA (254 nucleotides) under uncultured bacterium. RNAcentral describes it as "partial 16S ribosomal RNA". It matches the Rfam family "Bacterial small subunit ribosomal RNA", at positions 524 to 776 of the family's 1533-position model. The record is from RNAcentral.